UGUAAGCGUAUACCAAAGUUGUUGCAGUUAAAACACUCGUAGUCGGAAUUUGGCAGUUCCGGAUGUGUGCACGUCGUGUGCGCACUUCGCGGGGAUUGCUUUUGUGGUCUUGCGUAGGAUGAGGCACUUUUAUUAGUGAACGUCCUCACGCAACCACUUUUUACUGUGAGAAAAUCAGAGUGCUCAAAGCAGGCAUUUGCCGUGAAUGUAUUAGCAUGGAAUAAUAGAAUAGGACUUGGUUCUAUUUUGUUGGUUUGUUGGGACUGAGUAAUGAUUAAGAGGGACAGUUGGGGGCAUUUGUAUUUCGGCGCUAGAGGUGAAAUUCUUAGAUUGCCGAAAGACAAACUGCUGCGAAAGCGUCUGCCAAGGAUGUUUUCAUUGA
RNAcentral lists this ribosomal RNA (382 nucleotides) under uncultured eukaryote. RNAcentral describes it as "partial 18S ribosomal RNA". It matches the Rfam family "Eukaryotic small subunit ribosomal RNA", at positions 592 to 976 of the family's 1831-position model. The record is from RNAcentral.